RNAcentral lists this ribosomal RNA (500 nucleotides) under uncultured bacterium. RNAcentral describes it as "partial 16S ribosomal RNA". It matches the Rfam family "Bacterial small subunit ribosomal RNA", at positions 30 to 523 of the family's 1533-position model. The record is from RNAcentral.
AUUGAACGCUGGCGGAAUGCUUUACACAUGCAAGUCGAACGGCAGCACGGACUUCGGUCUGGUGGCGAGUGGCGAACGGGUGAGUAAUACAUCGGAACGUGCCCAAUCGUGGGGGAUAACGUAGCGAAAGCUACGCUAAUACCGCAUACGAUCUAAGGAUGAAAGCGGGGGAUCGCAAGACCUCGCGCGAUUGGAGCGGCCGAUGGCAGAUUAGGUAGUUGGUGGGGUAAAGGCCUACCAAGCCGACGAUCUGUAGCUGGUCUGAGAGGAUGAUCAGCCACACUGGGACUGAGACACGGCCCAGACUCCUACGGGAGGCAGCAGUGGGGAAUUUUGGACAAUGGGCGCAAGCCUGAUCCAGCCAUGCCGCGUGUCUGAAGAAGGCCUUCGGGUUGUAAAGGACUUUUGUCCGGGAGCAAAUACCCAGUGCUAAUAACGCUGGGGGCUGAGAGUACCGGAAGAAUAAGCACCGGCUAACUACGUGCCAGCCGCCGCAGUAA